GAUGAACGCUGGCGGCGUGCUUAACACAUGCCAGUCGAACGGAAAGGCUCCUGCUUGCAGGGGUACUCGAGUGGCGAACGGGUGAGUAACACGUGGGUGAUCUGCCCUGCACUUCGGGAUAAGCCUGGGAAACUGGGUCUAAUACCGGAUAGGACGAUGGUUUGGAUGCCAUUGUGGAAAGUUUUUCGGUGUGGGAUGAGCUCGCGGCCUAUCAGCUUGUUGGUGGGGUAAUGGCCUACCAAGGCGUCGACGGGUAGCCGGCCUGGGAGGGUGUACGGCCACAUUGGGACUGAGAUACGGCCCAGACUCCUACGGGAGGCAGCAGUGGGGAAUAUUGCACAAUGGGCGCAAGCCUGAUGCAGCGACGCCGCGUGGGGGAUGACGGCCUUCGGGUUGUAAACUCCUUUCGCUAGGGACGAAGCGCAAGUGACGGUACCUGGAGAAGAAGCACCGGCUAACUACGUG
This 465-nucleotide ribosomal RNA is filed under the name uncultured bacterium. Its description in RNAcentral is "partial 16S ribosomal RNA". It matches the Rfam family "Bacterial small subunit ribosomal RNA", at positions 28 to 507 of the family's 1533-position model. The record is from RNAcentral.